RNAcentral lists this ribosomal RNA (484 nucleotides) under uncultured bacterium. Its description in RNAcentral is "partial 16S ribosomal RNA". It matches the Rfam family "Bacterial small subunit ribosomal RNA", at positions 30 to 507 of the family's 1533-position model. The record is from RNAcentral.
AUUGAACGCUGGCGGAAUGCUUUACACAUGCAAGUCGAACGGCAGCACGGGGGCAACCCUGGUGGCGAGUGGCGAACGGGUGAGUAAUACAUCGGAACGUGCCCGGUCGUGGGGGAUAACGUAGCGAAAGUUACGCUAAUACCGCAUACGAUCUGAGGAUGAAAGCGGGGGACCUUCGGGCCUCGCGCGAUCGGAGCGGCCGAUGUCAGAUUAGGUAGUUGGUGGGGUAAAGGCCUACCAAGCCGACGAUCUGUAGCUGGUCUGAGAGGACGACCAGCAACACUGGGACUGAGACACGGCCCAGACUCCUACGGGAGGCAGCAGUGGGGAAUUUUGGACAAUGGGCGCAAGCCUGAUCCAGCCAUUCCGCGUGCAGGACGAAGGCCUUCGGGUUGUAAACUGCUUUUGUAUGGAACGAAAAGGCUCUGGCUAAUACCUGGGGCUCAUGACGGUACCGUAAGAAUAAGCACCGGCUAGCUACGUG